RNAcentral lists this ribosomal RNA (460 nucleotides) under uncultured bacterium. RNAcentral's name for it is "partial 16S ribosomal RNA". It matches the Rfam family "Bacterial small subunit ribosomal RNA", at positions 338 to 795 of the family's 1533-position model. The record is from RNAcentral.
CCUACGGGUGGCAGCAGUGAGGAAUAUUGGUCAAUGGGCGCUAGCCUGAACCAGCCACGUAGCGUGAAGGAUGACUGCCCUAUGGGUGGUAAAUUUCUUUUAUAUGGGAAUAAAGUGCAGUAUGUAUACUGCUUUGCAUGUCCCUUAUGAAUAUGGCUCGACUAACUCCGUGCCAGAAGCCGCGGUAAUACGGAGGAUCCGAGCGUUGUCCGGAUUUAUUGGUUUUAAAGGGAGCGUAGGCGGGUUGGUAAGUCAGUUGUGAAAGUUUGCGGCUCAACCGUAAGAUUGCAGUUGAUACUAGCAUCCUUGAGUACAGUAGAGGUAGGCGGAAUUCGUGGUGUAGCGGUGAAAUGCUUAGAUAUCACGAAGAACUCCGAGUGCGAAGGCAGCCUGCUGGACUGUAACUGACGCUGAUGCUCGAAAGUGUGGGUAGCAAACAGGAUUAGAUACCCCUGUAGUC